Molecule: ribosomal RNA, 374 nt
Filed under: uncultured organism
Description: partial 16S ribosomal RNA
Rfam family: Bacterial small subunit ribosomal RNA
Source: RNAcentral
GUAGGUGGCAAGCGUUGUCCGGAAUUAUUGGGCGUAAAGCGCGCGCAGGCGGUUCUUUAAGUCUGAUGUGAAAGCCCACGGCUCAACCGUGGAGGGUCAUUGGAAACUGGAGAACUUGAGUACAGAAGAGGAAAGCGGAAUUCCACGUGUAGCGGUGAAAUGCGUAGAGAUGUGGAGGAACACCAGUGGCGAAGGCGGCUUUCUGGUCUGUAACUGACGCUGAGGCGCGAAAGCGUGGGGAGCAAACAGGAUUAGAUACCCUGGUAGUCCACGCCGUAAACGAUGAGUGCUAAGUGUUAGGGGGGUUUUCCGCCCCCCUUAGUGCUGCAGCUAACGCAUUAAGCACUCCGCCUGGGAGUACGGUCGCAAGACUG